GAAUUAGGCAGUCGGCUCCCGUAAGGUCUGAAAUACCAGAUGACAGAAAAAAGGAUGCUCAUCUGAAAUGGAUUUCACCCUCCUCAGAGACAAGGGUUUGACACUAUUGGAAACUGUUAUCUAUCUGGCUCAAUGGAAAAGUCGGGUUCCUCGGGCUUUUGUAACUUUGGCAAGUCGUCUUUCAUUCUCUGAGCGCCUCUCCUUGUGUUUGCAGCAAACCUUGAAGCCAGCAAGGUUAUAUCCAGAUACGUUUUAGUCUGAGAAGGAUUUGAAACAACAGAGAAUUGUUCCUCUCCUUGGCUAGUUUCGUCAGUCACUUUUUCUGAUAAAGUAAAUGAUUCUUUCAUUAAGAGAUCUUUU
Molecule: unclassified non-coding RNA, 360 nt
Filed under: Hevea brasiliensis (rubber tree)
Lineage: Eukaryota; Viridiplantae; Streptophyta; Magnoliopsida; Malpighiales; Euphorbiaceae
Source: RNAcentral